AUCCUGGCUCAGGACGAACGCUGGCGGCGUGCCUAAUACAUGCAAGUCGAGCGGACCGACGGGAGCUUGCUCUCAUUUGGUCAGCGGCGGACGGGUGAGUAACACGUGGGCAACCUGCCCGCAAGACCGGGAUAACUCCGGGAAACCGGAGCUAAUACCGGAUAACACCGAAGACCGCAUGGUCUUUGGUUGAAAGGCGGCCUUUGGCUGUCACUUGCGGAUGGGCCCGCGGCGCAUUA
Molecule: ribosomal RNA, 239 nt
Filed under: Geobacillus stearothermophilus
Lineage: Bacteria; Bacillati; Bacillota; Bacilli; Caryophanales; Anoxybacillaceae
Description: partial 16S ribosomal RNA
Rfam family: Bacterial small subunit ribosomal RNA
Source: RNAcentral